This 484-nucleotide ribosomal RNA is filed under the name uncultured bacterium. Its description in RNAcentral is "partial 16S ribosomal RNA". It matches the Rfam family "Bacterial small subunit ribosomal RNA", at positions 30 to 507 of the family's 1533-position model. The record is from RNAcentral.
AUUGAACGCUGGCGGCAGGCCUAACACAUGCAAGUCGAGCGGAUGAAGGGAGCUUGCUCCUGGAUUCAGCGGCGGACGGGUGAGUAAUGCCUAGGAAUCUGCCUGGUAGUGGGGGAUAACGUCCGGAAACGGGCGCUAAUACCGCAUACGUCCUGAGGGAGAAAGUGGGGGAUCUUCGGACCUCACGCUAUCAGAUGAGCCUAGGUCGGAUUAGCUAGUUGGUGGGGUAAAGGCCUACCAAGGCGACGAUCCGUAACUGGUCUGAGAGGAUGAUCAGUCACACUGGAAGUGAGACACGGUCCAGACUACUACGGGAGGCAGCAGUGGGGAAUAGUGGACAAUGGGCGAAAGCCUGAUCCAGCCAUGCCGCGUGUGUGAAGAAGGUCUUCGGAUUGUAAAGCACUUUAAGUUGGGAGGAAGGGCAGUAAGUUAAUACCUUGCUGUUUUGACGUUACCAACAGAAUAAGCACCGGCUAACUUCGUG